Spinacia oleracea (spinach) is the source of this 3558-nucleotide long non-coding RNA. RefSeq lists it as uncharacterized. NCBI's taxonomy places the organism in Eukaryota, Viridiplantae, Streptophyta, Magnoliopsida, Caryophyllales, Amaranthaceae. The transcript has 7 exons. The record is from RefSeq and is a predicted model, not a curated record.
UUCUCUCUCUCCUCAACUCUUCCUCGUUUCCUCCGCACAAAUCAAACCAAAGAUAUUAUUUCAUCAGCUCAAAUCAUGCAACCCCAUUUUCUCCCUCCUCGCCAUUUCAAUGGCUUCUUAUGAAGCCUCACAACAGGUAACUCAAAAGUUUAUGGAAGGAAAUACAUCGCGGAGGAGGAUGUCGGCGGCGAUGGUGGCCACGAUGGAGAUGCGACUUGAAUUAAUCUCAUUCGGUGAACUCGACGGAAGAACCAACGGCGGUGGCGGCUGAGUGGGAGAGAGAUUGAGUGCCGAAGGAGGGAGAAGAGACGCAAGGAGCAAAGGCGGUAGUUCGCCUCCUCGCAAAGCUGCGUCGGACCGCUGGUGGUCCCUGCUAUUGUUAAUGGCCCGUUGGUGGCUCGCUGCAGUUGUUAAUGGACCGUUGGUGGUCGCGCUGGACCGCUGGUGGCUGCCGCGGAGGAGCAACAUGCAGAAGAUGGUUGUUGUUUGUUCAGUACGAGGUAGUGUGAGCUUCCUGUGGUGGAAACAUCGUCGGUGGCGGUAAAUCAUCAAGCUUUGGAUUUUUUAUCUUUUAUCUUGUUUUCUUUUGUGAUAAAAGGGGGCAAAGCCCCAAUUUCUUUUAUCCGGUUAGUGUUUUAAUUUCAUUUAGUUAAAAAUUAUCAAUAAGUCUUGGGUGCAACAGGUGCACAUUAAUAUUAAUGUGCACCAAAAUCUCACACGUGCAAAUAAAUGAAGGAGCUGACUCACAUAUCUCACAAAAUUUCACGCAAAAAAAAACAGACGAAAAAAAACGCAGAAAGAGGAGAGAGAAAAAACCUGGAUGAGAGAAACCUCUGAAUCACCACGAGAGAUCGAAAUCUCUGAAAUCGCGAUCGAAAUCUCAGAAUCGCGAUCUAAAUCUUUGAAAUCGCGAGAGAUCAAUUGAAUUUUCGAUCAAAUUUAAGAUGGAAAACCUAAUUCGAAGUGUGAUUCAAUCAACUCAAAGAAUUCAAGUUUCGGUUGAACCUGAUAUACAAGAUGCAACAAUGGAGGACGUUCUCAACAAUUGUAUGGAAAAUAAUGCUUUGGCACAGGAACGUGAAGAAGAAGAGUCAACUAACGAAAUCGAAGCUGAAGAACAGCAUAUUAUUUAUGAUUCUGAAGAACCAGAUCAAGAUAUUGUUGGAACGCUGAUAGGUUACACUGCCGAAACAGUGGAGGAACUGCUAGUGCGGAUCAACGAAAAACAUGCUAGUGCGGUUGGAUUUUCCAUAAGGAAAGGAAACACGAGAUUCAAAGUUGGCACAAGAAUCGUGCUUGAAAAGACAUUUCUUUGUUAAGCAGCAGGAGUAACAAACAAUGGAAAGAACAAAAAGAAAAAAGUGCAAACAGUUGUUCCUGUUGUGCCCAAAAAAGAGAAAAAACCAAGGCAAGUUCCAAUCACAAGAACUCGAUGUAGGGCAUGCUUGAGAGCGAAAAUGAAUUAUGAAGGCAGAUAUGCGGUUGUUAAUCACGUGAUAAUGCACAACCAUGAAUUAACUAGAAGUCAAUGGCACUACUUGCAUAGAUCUGAAAGGCAAAUAACGGAAGAGAAGGGGGAGGCAAUUGAAACUAUGCAAAAAUCUGGUCUGUCAUCCACGACUUCUUUUAACUACGUGGCAAUUGAAGCUGGAGGUGAAGAAAAUUUAGAGCACUCGAAGAAAGACCAUCUAAAUUACUGCACGAGGUUAAAAUGAAGCAAAUAGAAGGAGGUGAUGCACAAGCAGUAACUGACAUAAUGUAUUUAGAGCUUGAAGGUGACCCAAACUUCUUUUUUAGAUUUAGAUUGCAUGAAAAAGGCAAAUUGAGGAGUUUGUUUUGGAGGGACCCUAUGAUGAUGGAAGACUAUGGAAUUUUUUUGGAGAUAUAGUGGUUUUUGACACAACCUAUAGAACAAACAGGUAUAACCUAAUUUGUGCUCCAAUAGUUGGAAUAAACAACCACCGGAACAAUUGCAUGUUUGGUUGUGCAUUCAUAGGAGAUGAAAAGAUUGAGUCGUUUGUGUGGCUUCUACAAACUUUCAAAAAGUCAACGGGGAAAAAAGUCCAAUAUCAAUCUUUACAGAUCAAGAAGCAACAAUGAACAAUGCCAUCAAUCAGGUCUUUCCAGAUGCAAGGCACAGCUUAUGUGUAUGGCAUUUGCAUCAGAAUGCUAUUACCAAAUUUGGGGCAUUGAAACGAGAUCCAACUUUUAAGAAGACAUUCAACUAUUGCUUGUAUAAGUGUGUCACAGUAGUUGAAUUUGAAACCAAUUGGAGAUCAAUGCUGCAACAAUAUGAGCUAAUAGGGGAAGAGUGGUUCACGUACAAAUGUAUACGAUUUGAGAGAAAAAUGGUGCCCUGCCCUAAGCAAAGACUUCUUUUCAGCUGGGAUUUUGUCUUCACAACAAAGUGAAAGCACUAAUCACGCCAUCGGAUUUAGAGCAAACAGAACAACAUUUUUAACUAAUUUCUAUAGAUUUUUCAAAGGAACAAUACAGCGUUGGAGAAGUACAGAAAAGCAAGCUGAAUUCUCUUGUAGUAAAUCGGUUGCAUCCUCGGCUUUACCACUAUCUGGAUGGCUAAACCAUGCAUCAGAAGUUUACACGUUGUCACUAUUCAGACACUUUGAGGAGGAAUUUGGAUAUUCGAUUGCAACAACAGCAAAAUUAAUUUGGAAACAAGAGAGUAACAUACAUCCAUGAGAGCCAGAUAGUAUCAUGUACGUGUAAAAACUUUGAAGCUUUCGGGAUGGUUGUGCCACCAUUGCAUUAGGAUAUUGCACCUUCAUUCGGUUAACCGGAUUCCAGAAUAGUACAUCAAAAAGAGGUGGACAAAAUCUGCUAAGUCAUCGGUUUGGAACAAAUUAGAAAAUGAAAAGCCGGAAAAGGUGCAGUACACACCUUGGCGCCAAACCAUGGCUAGGAAAUACUACAACCUUAUCUUGAAAAGCCAGUCAAAUGAGGAGACAAGAACCCUUAUGGAGGAUGGUUAUGCCGCUAGUGUGUCUCUGGUUGAUGAACUUCUAGCAUCAUUAAAUCUUUCAAAUACUGAAGAUGGUUCAACCAUAGAAACAAGUGCAACAGCAGCACCUGAAACAAGCACAACACGAGCACCAGAAACAAACUCAGCACCAACAGGUACUCAUGCAACAACAACAAGUGAUACAAGUGUACAACAAGCUGCAACAAGUUCUGAACCUGCAACAACCACAGCAACUGAACCUCCUAUGGUGUUGGAUCCUGAACGUUGCACAACAAAAGGAAGGAACAAAAGACCACGAGGACCGCUUGUCAAAAAGGAGAAGGGAAAAACUACAGCGCCUCCAACAGCAGACUUUGGAACAAUAACUCCAAAUUUGAGAUUAUUUUUAUUCAUUUAAUGUUUCUUAUCAAAAAUAGAAUUUAAUUUUUCAUUAAAGUUAAAGUUAAGGUUUCUGAAGUUAAAGUUUAGGAUUCUGAAGUUAAAGUUGACUAGACUUGAGAACUUAGUAAAAGUUUGUUUUUUACAUUGAAAGUUUGAAUAUAUGCAUUAAAAUUUAGGAAGUAUGAUUUUUACCUCAA